RNAcentral lists this ribosomal RNA (429 nucleotides) under Gemmatimonadota bacterium. RNAcentral's name for it is "Gemmatimonadetes bacterium partial 16S ribosomal RNA". It matches the Rfam family "Bacterial small subunit ribosomal RNA", at positions 355 to 776 of the family's 1533-position model. The record is from RNAcentral. Lineage: Bacteria; Pseudomonadati; Gemmatimonadota.
UAGGGAAUCUUCGGCAAUGGACGAAAGUCUGACCGAGCAACGCCGCGUGAGUGAAGAAGGUUUUCGGAUCGUAAAACUCUGUUGUUAGAGAAGAACAAGGACGUUAGUAACUGAACGUCCACUGACGGUAUCUAACCAGAAAGCCACGGCUAACUACGUGCCAGCAGCCGCGGUAAUACGUAGGUGGCAAGCGUUGUCCGGAUUUAUUGGGCGUAAAGCGAGCGCAGGCGGUUUCUUAAGUCUGAUGUGAAAGCCCCCGGCUCAACCGGGGAGGGUCAUUGGAAACUGGGAGACUUGAGUGCAGAAGAGGAGAGUGGAAUUCCAUGUGUAGCGGUGAAAUGCGUAGAUAUAUGGAGGAACACCAGUGGCGAAGGCGGCUCUCUGGUCCGUAACUGACGCUGAGGCUCGAAAGCGUGGGGAGCAAACAGG